Molecule: ribosomal RNA, 267 nt
Filed under: Inocybe striata
Lineage: Eukaryota; Fungi; Basidiomycota; Agaricomycetes; Agaricales; Inocybaceae
Description: partial large subunit ribosomal RNA
Source: RNAcentral
ACGCUUGAAGUCAGUCGCGUUGGCUAGAAAUCAGCCUUGCUCUUGCUCGGUGUACUUUCUUGUCGACGGGUCAGCAUCAGUUUCGACCAUUGGAGAAGGACAUUGGGAAUGUGGCAUCCUUGGAUGUGUUAUAGCCCGUUGUCGCAUACGAUGGUUGGGAUUGAGGAACUCAGCACGCCGCAAGGCCGGGUCUCUGACCACGUUCGUGCUUAGGAUGCUGGCAUAAUGGCUUUAAUCGACCCGUCUUGAAACACGGACCAAGGAGUC